UAAUACGUAGGUGACAAGCGUUAUCCGGAUUUACUGGGCGUAAAGGGCGUGUAGGCGGUCUUGCAAGUCAGAAGUGAAAUUCCUGAGCUCAACUCGGGCGCUGCUUCUGAAACUGCAGGACUUGAGUGCUGGAGGGGAUAGCGGAAUUCCUAGUGGAGCGGUAAAAUGCGCAGAUAUUAGGAAGAACACCGGUGGCGAAGGCGGCUAUCUGGACAGUAACUGACGCUGAGGCGCGAAAGUGUGGGGAGCAAACAGGAUUAGAUACCCUGGUAGUCCACACUGUAAACGAUGAAUGCUAGGUGUAGGGGGUAUCGACCCCUUCUGUGCCGCAGUUAACACAAUAAGCAUUCCGCCUGGGGAGUACGGCCGCAAGGUUGAAACUCAAAGGAAUUGACGGGGGCCCGCACAAGCAGCGGAGCAUGUGGUUUAAUUCGAAGCAACGCGAAAAACCUUACCAGGUCUUGACAUGGGGAUGACCGGUGUAGAGAUACACUUUUUCUUCGGAACAUCCCACACAGGUGGUGCAUGGUUGUCGUCAGCUCGUGUCGUGAGAUGUUGGGUUAAGUCCCGCAACGAGCGCAACCCUUAUGAUUAGUUGCUACGCAAGAGCACUCUAAUCANACUGNCGUUGACA
RNAcentral lists this ribosomal RNA (634 nucleotides) under uncultured bacterium. RNAcentral describes it as "bacterial SSU rRNA". It matches the Rfam family "Bacterial small subunit ribosomal RNA", at positions 521 to 1160 of the family's 1533-position model. The record is from RNAcentral.